AGAGUUUGAUCCUGGCUCAGGAUGAACGCUGGCGGCGUGCCUAACACAUGCAAGUCGGACGGACGCGGAGAUUUCGAUUGAAGCGUUAGUGGCGAACGGGUGAGUAACACAUGGAUGAUCUACCCUGAAGCGGGGGACAACAGUUCGAAAGGACUGCUAAUACCGCGUAAGCUUUGGUUGUUUAGAAAGGCCAAAGUAAAGGAGCAAUUCACUUCAGGAGGAGUCUGUGGCCCAUCAGCUAGUUGGUAGGGUAACGGCCUACCAAGGCGAAGACGGGUAGGGGGCCUGAGAGGGUGGCCCCCCACAAUGGAACUGAAACACGGUCCAUACAUCUACGGAUGGCAGCAGUGGGGAAUAUUGCCCAAUGGACGAAAGUCUGAGGCAGCAACGCCGCGUGUGCGAAGAAGGCCUUCGGGUUGUAAAGCACUUUUGACAGGGAAGAGGAAGGACAGUACCUGUAGAAUAAGCCUCGGCUAACUACGUGCCAGCAGCCGCGGUAACACGUAGGAGGCGAGCGUUAUCCGGAUUUACUGGGCGUAAAGCGCGUGCAGGCGGUUUUGCAAGUUGGAUGUGAAAGCUCCCGGCUUAACUGGGAGAGGUCGUUCAAAACUGCGAGACUAGAGUGCGAAAGAGGGAGGUAGAAUUCCGAGUGUAGUGGUGGAAUGCGUAGAUAUUCGGAGGAAUACCAGAGGCGAAGGCGGCCUCCUGGUUCGCAACUGACGCUGAGACGCGAAAGCCAGGGUAGCAAACGGGAUUAGAGACCCCGGUAGUCCUGGCUGUAAACGAUGUAGACUGGGCGUUGGCGAUGUAACAAUCGUCAGUGUCGAAGCAAACGCGAUAAGUCUACCGCCUGGGGAGUACGGCCGCAAGGCUAAAACUCAAAUGAAUUGACGG
This 894-nucleotide ribosomal RNA is filed under the name Anaerolineaceae bacterium enrichment culture clone L35B_120. Its description in RNAcentral is "bacterial SSU rRNA". It matches the Rfam family "Bacterial small subunit ribosomal RNA", at positions 8 to 916 of the family's 1533-position model. The record is from RNAcentral. Lineage: Bacteria; Bacillati; Chloroflexota; Anaerolineae; Anaerolineales; Anaerolineaceae.